Mus caroli (Ryukyu mouse) is the source of this 961-nucleotide long non-coding RNA. RefSeq lists it as uncharacterized. The record is from RefSeq and is a predicted model, not a curated record. Lineage: Eukaryota; Metazoa; Chordata; Mammalia; Rodentia; Muridae.
GUUUGCUCUCUGCUCUCUUCUUAACUACCUUCCUGCCGGAGCUGUCCAGAGAGGGAGACUGAGGACCCAAAGGAGUCCGGGAGAGAAGGCUGACAGAUCAGAGAGGCGCUGGCAGUGGACUUUAGGGAGCUCGGCUGAUACUGCUCCCUCCCUGGGCUUCGGCAAGAGUCUUUCCCUGUCUAACACGAGGGGUGAGGAUCAUAUUUUUAUUUUGGAAACUAAAAAGUGCUCCCAGGGUCGGUGAUCAUUAAGGGGAAAUCCCUGAAUAUACUCUCCAGCCAAGAAGGCAGGGCUGCCCGCCUGCACUAGAAGAGGCAGCAGCCUCCUACAGCACCACUACAGGCACCGCGAGGACAUAACACCACAGAGCAGUUCCUCUGCCCUCCGAAACGACAACUUUCCUACCAUCUUGGAGGCAGAGGAGAGAGGGGCCAAGGGGAGAAGUGCACCGGCUCCAGAUAAAGUCCAAAUUUCUACCUCUCAUCGCUGGAAAAAAGCCCAUACUUGAGAAAAAGUAGGGAAGAAUGAGAAAGGAAGUCGUGUGCUCCGUGGUGGGGAAUGUUUCUGCACCUUCUGAUGGAAAGAAAUCUUUACAAGACACAGGUUUUACGAUAUUAUUGUUUUCCAUGUUAACUUUUUCCAUAGGGGUGACAGUGGGAGCUUACUUUUUUUCUUUUUCUUUUUUUCUUUUUUUUUUUUUUCAUGAUUUUUCUCUAUGGCAGGUCCAAGUUCUGUAUCUGGUGGCCAGUCUGUAAAUUGGCACUUGAGAGACUUAGAGGUCACGGUAUUGUCUUUAUUUAACGCUCGUUUAUGUUGUAUGUAUUCGUACUUAUGGUUUCAUGUAUUAGAGUUAAGAUUUUGUGGUUUUGGUAUCUGAGAAACUGAAGCUGCUGAGAAUCAAUUGUAAAGACAUGGCUUUUGUCUUCUCUCAGAGCAAUGUAAGUAAAACCUAUUGACUGCC